GAGUACAGAGGGGAGUUGAUAAACUAUGAAGAAUCACAAAGGAGGAGGAGACUGUAUCAUAGUGCAUGUGCUGUCUUCAUGUUUGACUUCUUGUGGCAAGAAAGAUGGUGGUGUAUCGAUGCAUCCCGAGAAGAUAACAGUCUUGGAAGAUUAGUCAAUGAUGACCACAAGAAUCCAAGCUGUACAAUGAAAAAGAUAUUGGUGGAUGGAAAGCCACAUCUGUGCUUAUUUGCAGUGAAAGACAUAAAUCCUGGAGAGGAAAUAACUUACAACUAUGGAGGGACUGACUGGCCAUGGAGGGAGAAGGCUAACAAAGAAUCAUCUGUGACUGAGGCUGUCGAAGUUGAGCAUGCUGCCUCACCGGAUCAAGCUCCGUCCAAGUCCUCCGAGAAAAAGGCUAGCAAAGAAUCAUCUGUGACUGAG
This is a long non-coding RNA of Fundulus heteroclitus (mummichog), 423 nucleotides long. RefSeq lists it as uncharacterized. The record is from RefSeq and is a predicted model, not a curated record. NCBI's taxonomy places the organism in Eukaryota, Metazoa, Chordata, Actinopteri, Cyprinodontiformes, Fundulidae. The transcript has 4 exons.